Molecule: ribosomal RNA, 253 nt
Filed under: uncultured bacterium
Lineage: Bacteria
Description: partial 16S ribosomal RNA
Rfam family: Bacterial small subunit ribosomal RNA
Source: RNAcentral
UACGGAGGAUCCGAGCGUUAUCCGGAUUUAUUGGGUUUAAAGGGAGCGUAGGUGGAUUGUUAAGUCAGUUGUGAAAGUUUGCGGCUCAACCGUAAAAUUGCAGUUGAAACUGGCAGUUUUGAGUACAGUAGAGGUGGGCGGAAUUCGUGGUGUAGCGGUGAAAUGCUUAGAUAUCACGAAGAACUCCGAUUGCGAAGGCAGCUCACUGGACUGCAACUGACACUGAGGCUCGAAAGCGUGGGGAGCAAACAGG